This 909-nucleotide ribosomal RNA is filed under the name uncultured Bacteroidota bacterium. Its description in RNAcentral is "bacterial SSU rRNA". It matches the Rfam family "Bacterial small subunit ribosomal RNA", at positions 47 to 950 of the family's 1533-position model. The record is from RNAcentral. Lineage: Bacteria; Pseudomonadati; Bacteroidota.
CAGCUAUACAUGCAAGUCGUGGGGCAGCAUGGGGUAGCAAUACUCUGAUGGCGACCGGCAAACGGGUGCGGAACACGUACGCAACCUUCCCAAAACUGGUGAAUAGCCCUCCGAAAGGAGGAUUAAUACACCGUAACAUAACGAAGUGGCAUCACUUUGUUAUUAUAGCUCCGGCGGUUUUGGAUGGGCGUGCGCCUGAUUAGGUAGUUGGCGGGGUAACGGCCCACCAAGCCUACGAUCUGUAACUGGUGUGAGAGCACGACCAGUCACACGGGCACUGAGACACGGGCCCGACUCCUACGGGAGGCAGCAGUAAGGAAUAUUGGUCAAUGGGCGCAAGUCUGAACCAGCCAUGCCGCGUGAAGGAUGAAGGUCCUCUGGAUUGUAAACUUCUUAUAUCUGGGACGAAAAAAGGGCUUUCUAGCUCACUUGACGGUACCAGAGGAAUAAGCACCGGCUAACUCCGUGCCAGCAGCCGCGGUAAUACGGAGGGUGCGAGCGUUAUCCGGAUUUACUGGGUUUAAAGGGUGCGUAGGUGGGCAGGUAAGUCAGUGGUGAAAUCUUCGAGCUUAACUCGGAAACUGCCAUUGAUACUAUCUGUCUUGAAUGCCCUGGAGGUAAGCGGAAUAUGUCAUGUAGCGGUGAAAUGCUUAGAUAUGACAUAGAACACCAAUUGCGAAGGCAGCUUACUACGGGGUGAUUGACACUGAGGCACGAAAGCGUGGGGAUCAAACAGGAUUAGAUACCCUGGUAGUCCACGCCCUAAACGAUGGAUACUCGACAUACGCGAUACACUGUGUGUGUCUGAGCGAAAGCAUUAAGUAUCCCACCUGGGAAGUACGACCGCAAGGUUGAAACUCAAAGGAAUUGACGGGGGUCCGCACAAGCCGGUGGAGCAUGUGGUUUAAU